GAUGAAGAGCUAUCUCUUCAUGGCACCCCAACUAGGGUCGAGACACCCUCUUGUAGAGGAGACAUUGCCAGUCCGGCAUCAAUCAGAUCCUGGACGAUCCCACGUAUCACCACCGAGUUAAGGAGGCGACAAAUCCCCUACCCUGACACAGUAAGGAAAGCGCAGCUAUUCAAACUCCUAAACACAACAAUCGACAACACGGAAGCAGGGGAAGGUCCCAGCAACACUAAUUCAGGUGAUAUCCAGGCUAUGCUGGCAUCACUCAUGACCUCUAUGGGCAAGGUCAAUGACAGACUGGCUAACCUCGAGGCGGUCACCACAGCCCUCACCAAGGCUGGUCUUCCUGAUACUGCUCAACAGGCACCAACUGAACCACAGGCCGCGGGUAUGGUUAUCUCCUCAGAUUAUCAGGAUGUUGACCCUGCAUACACUAUCUCAUCCCACAUUAAGAGGGACAUCCUGGAAGGCAAAUAUGUCAACCUUGCAUCCCUACUAAUUGCCUCUCAGGAUGUGGUGGAGAACAAAACCUAUAUGUACGAUGAAGUUUCUGUAGUGGUCAGAUCCAAAGACGCAAGGUUAAACCGUAAACUGAC
Pelobates cultripes (western spadefoot toad) is the source of this 593-nucleotide non-coding RNA. Lineage: Eukaryota; Metazoa; Chordata; Amphibia; Anura; Pelobatidae. The record is from the annotation of a GenBank genome assembly.